Molecule: RNA transcript, 4477 nt
Organism: Balaenoptera acutorostrata (minke whale)
Lineage: Eukaryota; Metazoa; Chordata; Mammalia; Artiodactyla; Balaenopteridae
Gene: SFI1
Gene name: SFI1 centrin binding protein
Exons: 31
Source: RefSeq, a predicted model, not a curated record
GGAGGUGGGGGAAGGAAGGCCUCGGUCCGCGCCGGCCUCUACACGGGAGCCUCGUCCCUGGUGCUUGCGCGAAGCGUAACUCGGGAAUACGCUUCAAAACAGCUCCCACUCCUCGUGUCUAAGCGUAGCAGUGGGAGGCUGAGCUCUGAAAGAAGCGAGUGGGCCACGGAGGCAGAGAGCCCUCCGCGGGGCCGCCCUGACAGCGCGUCUAUCCACGCCCCUCAGGGCCAACUCGCAUUGCUGGGGCUCCAAGGCGGCCAUAGGUAGGUGUGUCGCCUGCUGCCCUGAGGCUCCGCUAAUUCCCAGGUCUCGGGCUGGGCGUCACUCACGCACGCUGCGUCGCCGUGGAGACGGGGGCGGGGCCGGCGCGAGAUCUGCGUCCUAAGGGGCGGGAAAGCGCGGAGGCUGGCGUAGGCUGCGCGGGACUGAGGAGACCAGACCGCGUCCGCCGGAACUUCUUUGAGCCGUGAGGCGGGAGUGCUCGGCCUCUCUGGCCGGAGCCCAGCGACGAGCGCACGUCCCUCCGAGCCUGGCCGGUGACUGCCCUAUGGGAGCGUCCGUUUCCUCCUCCUCUAGAAGUGCAGUUAGAAGAGGAAGAUAAAAGACUUUUUGAUUCAUGAAGAAUUUGCUCACUGAGAAGUGUGUAUCAAGCCACUGGUUGAAUUUUCAUCAAAAAGGGAUUAAGCGGAGAAUGGAGAGGAAGGUUGAUUCCAGGUCUUCAAGGGAUGGUGCAGUUAAGAAACCUUAUUCUCCAAAGAUAAUAUCCAAAAAGAAGUCUUCUGCCUUUUCUGGGAUCUGGAGUGAGAUACCUAGGGCCAGGCACCCUGUACAGUAUCAUCCCUCAUAUGCCUGGACCCGAAGGGGCAGGCUAAGAGAACUGCGCAUCAGAUGCAUGGCCAGAAAGUUCUUGUAUUUGUGGAUUCGAAUGACUUUUGGAAGAGUAUUUCCCUCUAAAGCCAGGUUUUACUAUGAGCAAAGAAUUCUGCAGAAGGUCUUUGAAGAAUGGAAAGAAGAGUGGUGGGUUUCCCAUCGAGAGUGGAAACUCCGCGUUCGAGCUGACUGUCACUAUAGAUAUUACUUGUACAACCUGAUGUUCCAGACCUGGAAGACCUACAUGCAUCAGCAGCGGGAGAUGAGGAACAGGUACCUGAGAGCCGAGGAUCAUGAUGCGAAACAAAAGAUGCGACAAGCCUGGAAGUCCUGGUUGAUCUACGUGGUUUUUCGUAGGACCAAACUUCGGAUGCAGACCACCGCCCUGGAGUUUAGACAGCGGAGUAUUUUGUGGGUGUGGUGGAGCACGUGGAGACGGCAACUGGGACAGGUCCACCUGGGCCGUGCCCUCCAUGCCUCGGCUGUGAAGCACAGGGCCUGGAGCCUCCAGCUGCAGGCUUGGUCACGGUGGCAGGAACAGCUUCUGCAUGUCUGGAGGGAGAAGCGGAAGGUGGUCUCCGCAGUGAAACACCAUCAGCACUGGCAACAGUGGAGGGCCCUGAGGGCCUGGCUGGAAUACCUGCAGGUGCGCAGAGAGAAGAGACAGCGGAAAGAGAUGGCUGAGGGAUUCCACUGCAUCAUUGUGCUCCAGACACACUUCUGUGAUUGGCGGUGGGCCUGGAAGCGGAGGGAGAGCUUGUACGUCCACCACGAGCGGGUAGAGGGGCUGGCCAGGAGGAUGGUGCUGCGGAGGGCCUUUAUUCACUGGAAACACUACCUGCUGCUGUGUGCAGAGGCAGCUGUGCGGCGGCAGGUGGCAGAAGAACACCACAGGCGAGGCUUGCUGCAUUUUUGCUUUAGAGCCCUAAAAGACAAUGUGGCCCGUGCCCAUCUCCAACGAAUAAGAAGGAAUCUUGCUCACCAGCAACAUGAUGUCAUGCUACUGCACAGGUUCUGGAACCUCUGGCAGUCUCAGAUUGAUCAGAGGGAGGAAAGUGAGCAGCUCCCCUUCCUGUGUGCUGCCUGGGACCACUACAGAAUAACAUUGCUACGCAAGUGUUUCAAAUUGUGGUUACUGUAUACUCAGAAGAGGCAAUCCCAGCAGCUGUUGCAGGCCAGAGCAGACAGUCACUUUCAGCGGAGAGCCCUCCCUGGGGCCUUCCAGGCAUGGAGAAGGCUCUGGCAGUGGCACCAGCAGGAGAGAGUCCUCUAUGCCAGAGCAGCACGCUUUCACAGGGUGAUGUUAGAGAAGCAGUUGUUUGCACUUUGGUGUCAGAAGAUAUCUCAGCAUCGAGAACACCGCUUGCAAGAGAGAAUGGCCAUACUCCACGCAGAGCGGCAGUUUCUGCAGAGGUCCUGGUCCACGUGGUGCCAGCAAGCAGCAGCACAUCACCUGGAGUGGCAGCGACAAGCAGUGGCCUGUGCCCACCACCGCCUCAGGUGGCUCAGGAAGGCCUUCUGUGUCUGGAGAGAGAGUGCCCGAGGGCUCAGAACAGAGAGGACGGGCAGGGCACGGGCUGCACGGUUCCACGCGGCACAGCUCCUGUGUUGGGCCUGGAGCAGGUGGAGGGAGAUUUACCAGAGCCGGGUGCGGAGCAUCCUUCAGGAGGUGGCAGCCAGGGAGAGCCGGCACAAGAGGCGGCUGCUGUGGGGUGCAUUACGUCGCUGGAGAGAGAACGCCGUGGCCCAAGCGGACGAAGCAAAGAAAGCCUCUCGAGCAGCAGCUCACUACAGAAGGACCCUGUGCUCCAAGGUCCUGAUCGCGUGGUGGGAGGCAGUGUCAGUGCAGAUAUACUACCGACAGCAGGAGGGCCAGGCUGUCAGGGACGCCCAGGUGGCGCUGAAUAGGGGCUGUCUCAGGACCUGGUUUCGGCGCUGGAGGGACCGCAGCCGGAGCGCAGCCCAGCAGAGGGUCCAGAUGGAGAGGGUGGCGCAGCAUUACCGCCGGCAGCUGCUGCUGCAGGCCAUGGCCCAGUGGAAGGUGCACCAUCUGGGCUGCAUCAGGAAGAGGCUUCUGCAGAGACAGGCUGCCCAGCUCCUGGCCCAGACACUCAGCCGGACCUGCUUCCACCAGUGGAGACAGCAGCUGGCGGACAGGAGGCGGGAGCAGCAGAACACGGCACGGGCCCUGUGGUUCUGGGCCUUCUCACUACAGGCGAAGGUGUGGGCUGCGUGGCUGGGCUUCGUGCUGGAGAUGAGGAGAAAGAAGGCGCGACAGGAGCGGGCAGUGCAGGCCUACCACCAGCAGCUCCUUCGGGAGGGCGUCACGCGCCUCCUGUGCUUUGCAGCAGGCAUGAAGGCCUUCCGGCAGCAGCUGCACGCCCGGCAGCAGGUGCAGGCAGCCCACAGUCUCCACCGCGUGGUCCGUCGCUGUGCCAUGCUCUGGAAGCAGAAGGUGCUGGGCCUGGGCAGGGAGCCUCAGCCCCCCACGUCCACUGUGCGCAGCAGGAGAGUGACGUUUGAGGGUCCCCUUCCCAGCCACAUUGCUGCUGGGGCUGGCGAUGCCUCCCUGGAGACCAAGAGGACAACAGCUCCUCGUGGGCUUCGGGGAGCUCUGGACAGCGUGGCGUCUGCUGCUGGGGACACCCAACUCCUAGAGCUCAAUGCUGCCCGCUGGGCAAGAAAGCAACCGCGACGCCCAAGCUUCCUGCUGGAGCCCGUUCAGAGCCAGACGCCCCUGGGGUGUGGCAUCCUCGGGGGGCAGGGGCCUGAGGCACUGUGGGAGCAUGGCCUAGGCGAGGUCCAGCCAAUAGGCCUUGCGCUGACAACACCCUUCCUGGCAAAGGCCCAGACAGCACUGGACCCAAGCAGCCCCCUGCCAAGCGCCCCUGGCCUGAAGCUGCCGCCCACAGCGAGUACAGGCCUGCAGCUGCUGCCCCCUUCUUCCUUCAUGCUGCGUGGGGCGGAAGCACACACCUGGCCAUCAGCCCGGCCGACGAUACCUGGGCUUUCGUCCCAGGCCCCUUCGUCCCUGGCCAGUGUCCCCAACCCCCGUCUGCUCCUUCCUGGGGACUUCACAGGCACCAGGCCUGGGCCUGGCUCUGACACUGCAGGUGUGUACCUGGGGCCUGUCAGUGCCUCAAGUGCUCAGGUCACUCCCGGCACCUGGAAUCCCUGGGUUCAGCCUGGGCCCAGACGGGAGGAUGGUCAAGAUCAAGCUUAUUCUCCUAUUGCCACUGGCCACAUGGACCUGGAGGCCGAGCUUGAGGGCAUCCAGCAGCAACUGCAGGACUACCAGACCACGAAGCAGAACCUCAGGAAGGCCCAGGUUGGCCUUACCUUCAGGAAAAGCCGAGCAAAACUUUACACCUGUGUCUUGUGGAAGCCGGUGGUCUACCGGGCGAGUGUGACUGACGCGGGAUGAUGCAGUGAGCUGCCCUGCUUUGUCUGGGUCCACAGUCCACGUACCCUACGCCCAGGCCUGGGACCCUCAAUGUCCUGCCAACGGCAAGCAAGCAGCCUGCGGCAGUGGCUGGAGCUGAGCCAGGAGGAGCCCAGGCCGGAUGAGCAGGAGGCGGAGCAGCAGGUUCAGGAAGAGCUGCAGGAG